RNAcentral lists this ribosomal RNA (253 nucleotides) under uncultured bacterium. RNAcentral's name for it is "partial 16S ribosomal RNA". It matches the Rfam family "Bacterial small subunit ribosomal RNA", at positions 524 to 776 of the family's 1533-position model. The record is from RNAcentral.
UACGUAGGGUGCGAGCGUUGUCCGGAAUUAUUGGGCGUAAAGGGCUCGUAGGCGGUCUGUCGCGUCGGAUGUGAAAAUCCAGGGCUCAACCCUGGACCUGCAUUCGAUACGGGCAGACUAGAGUUCGGUAGGGGAGACUGGAAUUCCUGGUGUAGCGGUGAAAUGCGCAGAUAUCAGGAGGAACACCGGUGGCGAAGGCGGGUCUCUGGGCCGAAACUGACGCUGAGGAGCGAAAGCGUGGGGAGCAAACAGG